UUAGACUCCAUACCCGAUGAUCCCCUCAAAAGGGGGCUUAAUAGAAGACGGUGUCCUGACCUAAACUUUUAAUCCCAAUCGAAAUUAAUAAAAACCAAAUAAAAAUACAUAAUACCCAUAACAUUUUAAAUAAAUUUAAAGUGUAUCCGCUGGGUUACUCCUUUUAUCAAGUAAUUCACGUCAAUUGCUGUUAUCAUAGAACAUAUAUUCUUACUGUAAAAUCAGUUUACAGUGUGUGUAUUUAAAAAGAAAGAAAAGAGAAAAGACGAUUAAUAUACGCACACACGUAAUAUGAAAACUUUUUCGGUCGCUAACGUUGAGUCAUUACUGUCGUUAUUUCUCGACUAAACAAACGCGAAUGUCAAAGCGUUUAUUGUAAUGGCUUUUUCCCGGUGUGAAAAUUCUAAUGUACCGUACGGCGGUAUCCGCGGCGUCGCGCAUCGAUACGGCGGAAAAGAAAAAUUAAAUACAAAACCGACGGAUAUAAAAAUAUCUCGCGCGUAUUUCGUACGCAUACAUGCGACCGGCCGUGUGUGUGUGUCCGUAAAACCGUUUUGUCGAUCACGCGAUAAAUCGCCGCAGUUAUCGUAACAGGCGGGACGCACGCCG
Non-coding RNA from Cinara cedri, 609 nucleotides. NCBI's taxonomy places the organism in Eukaryota, Metazoa, Arthropoda, Insecta, Hemiptera, Aphididae. The record is from the annotation of a GenBank genome assembly.